UAUUCGUGACCUAAAACCCUAUCCACAUACCGCACAAGUACGGGUGGCCGAUGGAAACUUGGCUAAGAAUGAAGGAAUUGGUUGGGUUCAGUUAACACCCCAGAUUACUUUGUUCCCUGUUUUAUAUGUUCCUAAGUUACAAUGCAAUCUCCUCUUCAUUUGUCAGCGUACUUCUGAUCUCAAUUGCGAAGCUAAGUUUAGGUCUACUAGUUGCUUGUUGCAGGAG
Molecule: long non-coding RNA, 226 nt
Filed under: Linum usitatissimum (flax)
Lineage: Eukaryota; Viridiplantae; Streptophyta; Magnoliopsida; Malpighiales; Linaceae
Description: long non-coding RNA (LUSI_LNC000312)
Source: RNAcentral